AGGGUGACCGGCCACACUGGGACUGAGACACGGCCCAGACUCCUACGGGAGGCAGCAGUGGGGAAUAUUGCACAAUGGGCGAAAGCCUGAUGCAGCAACGCCGCGUGAGGGACGACGGCCUUCGGGUUGUAAACCUCUUUUAGCAGGGAAGAAGCGAAAGUGACGGUACCUGCAGAAAAAGCACCGGCUAACUACGUGCCAGCAGCCGCGGUAAUACGUAGGGUGCAAGCGUUAUCCGGAAUUAUUGGGCGUAAAGAGCUCGUAGGCGGUUGGUCGCGUCUGCUGUGAAAUCCCGAGGCUCAACCUCGGGUCUGCAGUGGGUACGGGCCAGCUAGAGUGCGGUAGGGGAGAAUGGAAUUCCUGGUGUAGCGGUGGAAUGCGCAGAUAUCAGGAGGAACACCGAUGGCGAAGGCAGUUCUCUGGGCCGUUACUGACGCUGAGGAGCGAAAGCGUGGGGAGCGAACAGGAUUAGAUACCCUGGUAGUCCACGCCGUAAACGUUGGGCGCU
This 508-nucleotide ribosomal RNA is filed under the name Schumannella luteola. RNAcentral describes it as "bacterial SSU rRNA". It matches the Rfam family "Bacterial small subunit ribosomal RNA", at positions 297 to 817 of the family's 1533-position model. The record is from RNAcentral. Lineage: Bacteria; Bacillati; Actinomycetota; Actinomycetes; Micrococcales; Microbacteriaceae.